GGCCGAAAGUCCGCGCGCGGGGGAUCCCUGAGGAUUCGCGCCUCCUGGAGGGGAGGAGAGCCCGCCUGAGGCGCCAGUGCCCGAGUGACUGACUGGGCUGCCGCGCGCGCUCUGCAGCCGCCUCACGCUAGGGCUGCAGGCUGGCGACGGUUCUUACUCCCUGAAAUAGAAUUAAGCGCCCCGUCCGCCGCGAGUGCUGUGGGAAGUUGGGCGGAGGUGAAGAGUUGCAGACCGGGGUCGGGAGGCGGUGUCUGAGGAGGGUCUCGAACGCACCCGAGUUUCUGCCCGACGGAGGUGGCAGAAGCAGUAAGGUAGAGGCGCGGGGCGGCCGCGAGCGGCCGGGCCUGUGAAGCAUGUGACAGGAACCAGGAUGGAGAAGGCCGGUCGGUGUCCUGUGGCCGCUGAAGAAUUUCAAGGGAAUCAGUGAGCAGCAUGCCAGAGGUGAUUCAGCUCUUUUAACACUCAUGGUGCUGCAGGAGUGAGUCUACGGUGAAGGAACCCAGUAUGGAGCAUCUUUUAUAAUAAGCUCGUAGACCCGCUUCUCUGAGUUCUGUGAGCUGCACCAGCAAAUUAAUCAGAUUCAAUGAAGGCAUCGUGGGAACUCCAACUUGAAGCCGGUCAGAAGUUCUAGAGGCCCCGACUUGCAACUAGUGUCUGGAAAGCUCUUUGUCCUGGGAAGAGCUUGCUGCAUCUUCUAGUUUCAGUAAUCAAAGAAGCAGAGUUCCCCUGCAAUUCUUCAAGGAGCCUUGAGGAUUCAGAAGGUGUUCGGGUGGCUGCAUCAAUCCUGCAGACAAAUUUCCAGUCGGCAGAGGGGCCAUUCCCAGGGCCACAUGGCUGGCUGGAUUGAGUCUUGGCCAGGUGCCAUAGACCUGUAUCUGCCGUGAUGGCAAUGUUGCAAUGACAUCAGCAUCUUACAACCCAUGUUCCUGCUCAAGCCUCCUCAGCACUAGGACAGUGACUGGCUUCUAUGCCUUUGAUGCACACUGAAGAAGGCUGUGUCUACACUUGUUUCAAACCUCCCUCGUGUGACUCAGGGAUCUCUGAGAGAUCUUUUAAAUGUCUGACAAAAAAAUGACAGUGGCAGAUGCACGAAUGAGAUCAAUCCAGAUUAGUUAAGUCUGGCCCAGAAGAUGAGACCUACCCUGAUGAAGACAGCUCAAAUUGCCAG
Non-coding RNA from Saimiri boliviensis boliviensis (Bolivian squirrel monkey), 1168 nucleotides. Lineage: Eukaryota; Metazoa; Chordata; Mammalia; Primates; Cebidae. The record is from RefSeq and is a predicted model, not a curated record.